Molecule: unclassified non-coding RNA, 215 nt
Filed under: Hevea brasiliensis (rubber tree)
Lineage: Eukaryota; Viridiplantae; Streptophyta; Magnoliopsida; Malpighiales; Euphorbiaceae
Source: RNAcentral
GUGAACUCGUAAGGAAUGUUGGCGAGAGGACCUCUCUGGCAUGCAAGCUCGUGGAUGUCCUUCACGAUGUCAAAAACUGCAUCGGGUUGUGCAAGUUUAAGUGCAUUCUCUGAUAUAGUUUUGCGCUCAUCCUCUUUGGUGCUAAACCACUCUGCAACAAUCCGGGCUGUUUCCUUGGGGCUUCGUGUGAAAACACCAGCUCCAUUGUCCACAAC